CACCCUUCAAAGCAACAAAUUCUUCUAUUUGUUCCACAUCAUAGUAAUCAUAUACACAAUUAGCAUAAGAAGCUAAAGUUUCAUUCUCAUUAAAUUCACAUUGAAAGGGGAGGUGUGGAGCCUCCAUGUUAGAGCAACAAGUACAAUCAUAUCUUAAGCAUAAAUUCCAAGCAUACCCACACCGAUGACCGGCCCUCCUGCCGGAAUAGGUAGCGAAGACACUUUCCACCACCCUGCCGGCCACUGCCGCCGCUGGAAACCACACUCGUGCCGGCCUCCCACUGGAGCCAAGAGAGCUUGAAAACUGACGGCGGUUGGAGGAGAAGACAACCGGCAAGAAGGGUCGCGGCUACCAAGUGCUCGACGAAAUGCCGACAAGUGUGGAUAUGAACACGGCCGUAUUUUUAGCGUCUUUGGAGUCCUCGGCGGUGAUGGUGCUAGAUGAUCUCAAUUAUGACUUAGUUUGGGAUCUUUCGGAGGCGGCCGAAGAGAUGGAAGAAGAGGAGGUGGCCGACGAAGAUGAAGUUGAGGAGGUGGCUGAAGCAAGCAUGCGGUCGUCAAGGUCACGCACCGCCAACUACAAUCAAGUUGAAGAUGUUGCUCUAUGCUAUGCUUGAAUGAACAUCUUCAUGGAUGCAAUGAUUGGAACGAAUCAAACCAAGACUAUGUUUUGGGGGAGUUACGGACUACUACAACAAGUCCGUGGAGGUGCAAUCAAGCCGUACGCAAGGUUCUCUUGGGUAUCGUUGGAGCACCAUUUACGACCAAUGCAACCGAUGGUCCGGUUGCAUCAAUCAAGUGAAUCAUGUACCAGCAAGCGGUGUGCAAGUGGCGGAGUAUGGCCCCUACAUCAAAGAACUAUUCAAGCAUAGGAACACAAGUUCGGCCACAAGCCCUUCAUGUUGCAUCAUUGCUACAAAGAGCUAUGCAAGAACGAGAAGUGGAUCCAAAGAGUUUCGGAGACCACUCCAAAGAGACAAGGUUGAGCAUAUCUGUUGAGGAGGACAACGAGGUUGAUGAAGAGGCCAACAAUAGACUGAAAGGGAACGAAAUUGCAAAAAAAAAGAAAAGAAGAGAUAUGCGUACGUUGGCACAUACAAAGAAGAACUUGUGGCCAUGAUUGAGGCCAAGAAGUUGUUGGCGACCGAACGCAAAGAAGAUAAGAUGGCGAGGUGGAAUGAGCUUUGGAGGAUGAGAAAUGAAAGGCCAAGUUGGUGGCGGAGGAGAGAAAGUUGAAGGUGGAGGAGUGUAGACUUGCACUUGAGGAGGAGAGGAUUCGUGUUGCCAAGAAAGCCGCAGACCGUGCUAUCAUGUUCAUGAAUCCAAACACAAUGGAUGAAACCGCAAGAAAGUAUUGAGAGCUCACUCGUGGGGACAUCUUGACCCAAACGGAAAGCUCUCUUCGGAAUGGUGGUCUUGGUGGAGGCCAAGAGGAUGGUGGUGGUGGUGGUGGCGGUGGUGGUGGUGAUGAUGGUGGUGGCGGCGGCCGGGACGAUGGUGGUAGUGAUGGUGUCCAAGAGGAUGGUAGUGGUGGCGGCGGUGACGAUUUCUUUGCCGAGGACUUCGUUUGAGUUCGUGCAUGCCAUUGGUUGGCUCGAUCCACAACAUACACAUGUUAUGUUUGUGGUGAUUUUGGGUCAAACUUUGUGUUUGAAGUAAUGCAUUUUGGGUGAACAAGGCAUGUUUGAAUUUGAAAUUCGUGAUGAUGAAAUUUAUGCUUUUUAA
Long non-coding RNA from Aegilops tauschii subsp. strangulata, 1725 nucleotides. RefSeq lists it as uncharacterized. The record is from RefSeq and is a predicted model, not a curated record. Lineage: Eukaryota; Viridiplantae; Streptophyta; Magnoliopsida; Poales; Poaceae.